This 301-nucleotide ribosomal RNA is filed under the name uncultured bacterium. RNAcentral describes it as "partial 16S ribosomal RNA". It matches the Rfam family "Bacterial small subunit ribosomal RNA", at positions 509 to 809 of the family's 1533-position model. The record is from RNAcentral.
CAGCAGCCGCGGUAAUACGAAGGGGGCUAGCGUUGCUCGGAAUGACUGGGCGUAAAGCGCGCGUAGGCGGCUUUUUAAGUCAGAGGUGAAAGCCCGGGGCUCAACCCCGGAAUUGCCUUUGAAACUGGAAAGCUAGAAUCUUGGAGAGGUCAGUGGAAUUCCGAGUGUAGAGGUGAAAUUCGUAGAUAUUCGGAAGAACACCAGUGGCGAAGGCGACUGACUGGACAAGUAUUGACGCUGAGGUGCGAAAGCGUGGGUAGCAAACAGGAUUAGAUACCCCUGUAGUCCCUGUCUCUUAUAA